CUGCUGCAGGAAGGCGGCGGCCGCCGCCGCCGCCUGGUGUUGGUGCUGGAGCUGGGGGCUCACAGGGGAUCUCCGGUUCUGCUGCUGCUGCUGCUGCUGCUGCUGAGGCUGUGGAAGAGAACAGAAAGCCCUCAUUGCCCUCAACAUGUUCCUCACACUUCCAGCUCUGUAUUAAGGCAAUGACUAAAAUAAAGUCUCAUGCUUCAGGGCUACAGCUGGCUGCCUGCAAAAGACUGGAGAGUCAUUUCCUAGCUGAAUUCUGGAUUUUUUGAUUUCAUUUUCUCUGAAGCAUUACAGACAAGCAUACCUGGUCAUCCAGCCUUGGAAAGAGUGGUCCAGUUCUCUGAGGUGAAGAGGAAUUCCCUGCUUUAGAUAGUGACUUAUCUUCCAACUGGCUGGGUGAUCGGACAAGUUCUCCCUGAAUCAAGAUGGGAUCAACAUCUGGGAAAGAAGCACAGGUUACAGUGAUUUUGUUGUGCUGAUACAUCCUUCCCUCCCUCCUCACUCCUGAUACAAUCGACACUGUUGGACAACUGGGGUAAGCUCCAGGCAUCACUGGGUGCACAGCAGGAUUGCUGUUGACUUCACUGCUGGUCAGGAUGCUACCUCGUACCCAGCUGCUGUUUAGUAGAAGCUCUUUCUACAUUUUGGCAUUGACUACCCAUUGGUUCUGACUUGUAUAGCCCUGGAUUAUUAGUAGCUUAUUGGAAAAGCUGUUUUUCCCUCCCUAUGUAAAGUAUGUUCAAGCACAGAACUUUUAAUUUCAUUAGUAAAAGCUCCAUGGUUUGGGGGCUUUCAUUUCUUUCACCAAGCCUGAAGUAAUUUGGGUUAGUUGAUUGCCAGGAAAAACUUUGGUUGUUGUCUAUUGUCAUGGACUGUAGCGUGUACUCAAUCUGAAACUGGUGUAUGUUUAUUUCAUUAGUACAAAUUUUAGCAUGUGAUAUGGAAACAAGGAACUGCGGGCAUCUUUUCUAAGAAUUGUUUUGUUUUUUUUUUAUGGUGAAAGGGCCUAGAGCACCAGAUUGUCGCACUUGUCUUGUGUAUAAAUCCAAAUAGAUAAAAUGUAAGUGCUCUAUUUAUUUUGUGUAGUUUUAAAGAUCCUGUGUGUUGGCAGGUAGGCAUAACUUGCAUCAAGAUAAGUUUUAAAAUAGAAAUUCAUGUCUGGAUACAUAUUCUGCAACAACACUUUUAGUUUGUAAUUAUUGCCUGAUGCAUUUAAUACUUCUGUGCCCUUCAACUCUGUAACAGUGUCUCAUGGGAAGUAACUGAUUAAUUCAUUUAAUUCAUCCGAAAAGGCACAGGAAAUUUUAUGUCAUCCAAAAUUGUACACUUGCACAUCUAAUAGAAAAAAUAUAAUACUUUUCUGCCUAUUCCAUAUCGUAUUACUCAGAAGAAUAUAAGAAGCACUCACAAAUCUGGAAUCUCAGUCAAAGUAGUUUUCACGUUGUUUCCUAUCCUGCAUAAAACCUUCCAACAGCCACAUAAGGAAUUUACUCGUGAAAAACUCCAACAGCCAUAUGCCAAGUCAUUCUAAGCUAACAAGUAAUCCAAUAAACCUUCACUUCGCAGCAACACAAAUUUUAUCUCUACAAGUAAAUUCAGUAUCCUUUGAAGGAAGAGAAGAGUAUUCUACCUUGCUUUUCAAACAGACUAGCACCUGUAUCGCUUUGGACAAAAAGCUGCCUGGCUCCAUGUAGACUCUUUCUAAAAUGUGGGGAUCAGCAUACUUUUUUUGUACGAGUUUGUUAUAUACUUUCAACGAGACCUUUUCUUUGUGCCACUAGACAUAUGGCACUCCGUGACCAUCCUUAGGAUUCUUGAAAUGUAAGGAGUAUGCAAUGUUAGUAUCUUGGCAAUCCUCAUUCCACAUUUCUCACCAGCUAGCAGCACUGUUCAUGUUUACUGCCACAUGUUAAGGACAUAAUAGCCACGUUCCUUUUUACAUCUACAGAGUUGUAGGAUGUUAUAUCUCUAUCUGAGACAUUAUAAUUCCAACUUUCCUGCUAGUGAUGGUUUUGCAUCUUCAGUAUAAGGCUGAGACUUACAGAUAAAGUUUGGGCUUUAUUUUGGCCAUUGGCCAUCUGUAAUGUUUGCAUACUGAAGUAAUUCAAGCAAAAUAUGAAGCAACUGAAGCUUCUGCCAAAAGCUAAUGUGAAAACAAGUAUUUGAGGUUUUACACAUCCAAGCUUCUCCUGUUUCUCAGUUUCUAAUACUUAGUGUACUUGGUGGCUUUUGGAAGGGUCAGAAAGCACAAAAACUAAAAUACAUAGGACCGUUUCAGUUACAAUUAUGAUUUUCCCUAGACUGGAAAUCUCAAAGCAACCUGUUCUAAUGGCGACAGGAAAUGGCUGAGAACUUUGUAUGACUUUUUGCAUACUAGUAAUGGUAGUGUAAUUUAGGGGAGGGCCAAAGUAAUAAUUGCGCAGAACAGGAGGUACAGACUAGUCAGAAAAGAGUUUUGUAAACAAUGCAUGUUAUAUUUUGCCUGAAUGUUGAUAGUACUUUAUUAGCUGGCCACAGAAGCAGUGGGUAGCAGGGUAAAACAGGAGUGACAUAAGAACAAGUGAGGUAGCUGUGGCAAGUUAAAAUCAAGAAAUUUCUCAUAUUUGCCCACUAAACUAAUCUAAAAAACACCCAACAAUGGAACAGUUAAUGAAAAUAUUACAACACCUAGUUUCAGGUUGACUUGCUAAAGAUAUUUCUGGCAAAUAAGGUAGUUGCAGAAAUCAUUUAACACAUCUCCACACAUUAGUGUUUAAAUGGCAUAGAAGAAACAGGACAGGAUACUUGGGGUGGGGCAGUUACAGUAAAUUUUUCUCCCACAAAGAGUCUCACCAAAACAAGAUUCUAGCCCGACAAUAAGGGACAGCAGUGUAGUCCUUGUUCCUUACCCGAGUGCACCGAGCCGUGCGUCUCACGAUGCUUUUCUUUCAGAUGACAGGUUGUCUAGCAGGCAGAUCCCACAGCAUGAGAAAGAUGGGUGGUAUUUACCUUAGCUAAUCUGUCUGGCUAUAAAGCUCAACGAUUACCCACCACUGGGUCAAAGAGCAAAGCAAUGAACGCUUUGCCUACGUUUACUGGUCUUCAUGUCUACCUUUCUCCAGUGAUGCACCAUUAAAAGUGCAAAUCAGAAAGGUACCAGAGCAGGGAUUAUAACAUGUCCUGGAAAUGUGACAAUUUCACACUUCAUAAUUAAAUUGUCAGAGCGAUUAAAGAGGAGUUGCUUUUAUAAAGUGAAAAUGAGGAAUACAGUGUUGUAAGAGAUAAUCUGCCUUUUAUUAGAUCAUCUUGAAAUAAAAGACCUGAAAUACACAUUCCUGUGUUUGUAUUGGAUAAAAUCCUAUCCAACAUUUGUGAUGUGGUAUGUGAAUGCUGGAUGGAAAUAAGGUGAUUUACAUUUAUUGUAUGGCAUGUAGUGUAAUGAUCACCUAGAAAAGCUUUCCUUUGUCAUGAUUUAAAAGUAGAUCAUAUAGUGCCAAAGAAAAUACAAAAAUAACAGAUUUUGUGGAUGAGUCUAAGUAUUUGUGCAUAUAUAUUAGCUUAUCGUGCUUACAGUUUCUGGCAAGAUAGAAGAGGAGAUAUUUAUUCUCGAGCUGACUUUAAAGUAUUUAUUUUUUGGAAUGUUGUUUAAGAAAAUUGAUACUUCCAAGGAAUUGGAACUAGAAGAUUAAGAGUUUUCUAAAACACCCACCCAUUCUUUUUGAGCUUUUUUUCCAGCCAGCUAUGUGUACUUAAAUGACAGGGGAACUCAAAAUUGUUAAAAGUAUGUAUGCUUUUGCAUAGUCAAUAAUUUCUAACUGCAUCUAUAAAUCAUAGUAUUUACAUUCCCAAUCUCUGUAUAUUUGCUCACACAUCUGACUAUAUUAAAAAGAAGAGAAUAAAGGAGUUGCAAAGGCCAAGUAUAAUCUCUAUCUGUAUAUAUAUAGUAUAAACUUUUUAUGUAAGUAAGUGGUGAUUUUUCCUUAAUACUUGUCUUUUUUGUGCUUUGGUUUUCUAAAUCAGAGUGCUUCUGAUCAGGCUGUCUGUGUUUGAUGGUAGAGAGCUCCAUGAAGAGAGAUUGUAAGUAAUGCUUUCCAGAGCAGUCAACAGCCUGUGGGGCAGAAUGCUCAUUUGGGUAAUGAGAUAAUAUCACGAUCAGGUCUUACGCAGAAAUCUCCAACAUCAGAGAAACAAUCACGCUACUUGUUAUUAAAUCCUUGUGGCCUAUUUGGUGCUGUCCUGGACUUGAUAAGUCUUUUCUCACCAAGAUGUUUUCAAGAACUAGUAUGGUCUUGAUGAUAUGAUUCAUUUGACAGCAUUUUUGGUUUCAUAACCAGAUUCAUAAAAAAUGAAACAAUUCCCAAUGAAUUCUAGGCUGUUAUUCCUAUAAUAAAUCACACAUUGUCUUGCUAAAUAAAUCUGAUUGAAUGUAAAUAUAUGUAAGGGUCUUGUGUUUGCCAUCAUAAUUCAGUUAUCCAGUUAAAAGCUAUGCUUCAAAAAUCAUGAAAUAGGCUUAAAAUGGAUGCAAAAAUAGUAAAUGUUAAAUCCUUUUUACCUGUCUACUGUUUUUCUUGGCCAUGCAAUUGUAUCACAUUUUAAAACUUUAUCUUUUGUACCUGUGAAAUGUACUUGAUUUUUGUUAAUGGAAAGUGGGAUUUUCUUCUACUCCCCUUGUCUCUAGGAAUUAUGACUGUAAGAUAGCAUGAUGACUCAUGAUUGUAUUAUGGGAGGUAGUGAUAUUGCUCAAAAGAAACUGGUAUCAGGUGAUGCAUAGAGGUCUCUCGAUUCUACAUUGUUCUGGUGUCAUUGGUGGGAAAUUCUUCAGUGAAAUAAAAUCAAAUGAAUAUUUCUUAAUAAAAUACAGGAAUGUGGA
This is a long non-coding RNA of Dromaius novaehollandiae (emu), 4852 nucleotides long. RefSeq lists it as uncharacterized. The transcript is spliced from 3 exons. NCBI's taxonomy places the organism in Eukaryota, Metazoa, Chordata, Aves, Casuariiformes, Dromaiidae. The record is from RefSeq and is a predicted model, not a curated record.